This 442-nucleotide ribosomal RNA is filed under the name uncultured bacterium. RNAcentral's name for it is "bacterial SSU rRNA". It matches the Rfam family "Bacterial small subunit ribosomal RNA", at positions 43 to 530 of the family's 1533-position model. The record is from RNAcentral.
CACGCCUAACACAUGCAAGUCGAACGAAGUAGCAAUACUUAGUGGCAGACGGGUGAGUAACAUGUAGGUAUCUACCCUUUGGCCUGGAAUAACACGAGGAAACUUGUGCUAAUACCGGAUAAGUCUUUACGGAGAAAGCUUUAUGCACCAUUGGAUGAGCCUGCACUUGAUUAGUUUGUUGGUGGGGUAAUGGCCUACCAAGACUGUGAUCAAUAGCUGAUUUGAGAGGAUGAUCAGCCACAUUGGGACUGAGACACGGCCCAAACUCCUACGGGAGGCAGCAGUGGGGAAUCUUGCACAAUGGAGGAAACUCUGAUGCAGCGAUGCCGCGUGAGUGAAAAAGGCCUUUGGGUUGUAAAGCUCUUUCGUCGGGGAAGAAAAUGACUGUACCCCAAUAAGAAGGUCCGGCUAACUUCGUGCCAGCAGCCGCGGUAAUACGAAG